CUUGAACUUUAUAAGAGGUCCAGCCUGCCCAGUGACUCUGUUCAACGGCCGCGGUAUCCUAACCGUGCGAAGGUAGCGUAAUCACUUGUUCUUUAAAUGUGGACUAGUAUGAAUGGCACUACGAGGGUUAUACUGUCUCCUUUUUCUAAUCAGUGAAACUAAUUUUCCCGUGAAGAAGCGGGAAUAUUACUAUAAGACGAGAAGACCCUAUGGAGCUUUAAACAACCCAGCAAUUACUUCUAAAAUUAUAAAUUUCAGAAUAUUCAUUUUUCUAAGUAAUAUGUCUGCAAGUUUUUGGUUGGGGUGACCAUGGAGAAUAACAUAACCUCCAUAUUGAAUGAAUUCCCUUCUAAGCUAAAAAUUACCUAUUGAAGCAUCAAUAUACUGACAUCUAUUGACCCAAUAUAUUUGAUCAACGAACCAAGUUACCCUAGGGAUAACAGCGCAAUCCACUUCAAGAGCCCCUAUCGACAAGUGGGUUUACGACCUCGAUGUUGGAUCAGGGUAUCCCAGUGGCGCAGCC
RNAcentral lists this ribosomal RNA (523 nucleotides) under Rhinella margaritifera group sp. ABGD cluster 36. Its description in RNAcentral is "partial large subunit ribosomal RNA". It matches the Rfam family "Bacterial large subunit ribosomal RNA", at positions 1835 to 2560 of the family's 2925-position model. Lineage: Eukaryota; Metazoa; Chordata; Amphibia; Anura; Bufonidae. The record is from RNAcentral.